UAGGGAAUUUUCGUCAAUGGGCGCAAGCCUGAACGAGCAAUGCCGCGUGAGUGAGGAAGGCCUUCGGGUCGUAAAGCUCUGUUGCGAGGGGAAAAGGAACGGAAGAGGAAAUGAUUCCGUUUUGAUGGUACCUCGCCAGAAAGUCACGGCUAACUACGUGCCAGCAGCCGCGGUAAUACGUAGGUGGCAAGCGUUAUCCGGAAUGAUUGGGCGUAAAGGGUGCGCAGGCGGCAUAUCAAGUCUGAAGUGAAAGGUACGGGCUCAACCUGUACAGGCUUUGGAAACUGGUAUGCUCGAGGACAGGAGAGGGCGGUGGAACUCCACGUGUAGCGGUAAAAUGCGUAGAGAUGUGGAAGAACACCAGUGGCGAAGGCGGCCGCCUUGGCCUUGUAACUGACGCUCAGGCACGAAAGC
Molecule: ribosomal RNA, 414 nt
Filed under: uncultured Allobaculum sp.
Lineage: Bacteria; Bacillati; Bacillota; Erysipelotrichia; Erysipelotrichales; Erysipelotrichaceae
Description: bacterial SSU rRNA
Rfam family: Bacterial small subunit ribosomal RNA
Source: RNAcentral